Molecule: ribosomal RNA, 447 nt
Filed under: uncultured bacterium
Lineage: Bacteria
Description: bacterial SSU rRNA
Rfam family: Bacterial small subunit ribosomal RNA
Source: RNAcentral
CCCAGACUCCUACGGGAGGCAGCAGUGGGGAAUAUUGCACAAUGGGGGAAACCCUGAUGCAGCAACGCCGCGUGAGUGAAGAAGUCAUUCGUGAUGUAAAGCUCUAUCAGCAGGGAAGAAAAUGACGGUACCUGAGUAAGAAGCCCCGGCUAACUACGUGCCAGCAGCCGCGGUAAUACGUAGGGGGCAAGCGUUAUCCGGAUUUACUGGGUGUAAAGGGAGCGUAGACGGCCAGGCAAGUCUGAAGUGAAAGGCGGGGGCCCAACCCCCGGACCGCUCUGGAAACUGUAGAGCUAGAGUGCAGGAGAGGUAAGUGGGAUUCCUAGUGUAGCGGUGAAAUGCGUAGAUAUUAGGAGGAACACCAGUGGCGAAGGCGGCUUACUGGACUGUAACUGACGUUGAGGCUCGAAAGCGUGGGGAGCAAACAGGAUUAGAUACCCCCGUACU